This 107-nucleotide small nuclear RNA is filed under the name Suricata suricatta (meerkat). Lineage: Eukaryota; Metazoa; Chordata; Mammalia; Carnivora; Herpestidae. The record is from RNAcentral.
AUGCUCGCUUCGGCAGCACAUACACUAAAAUUGGAACGAUACAGAGAAGAUUAGCGUGGCCCCUGCGCGAGGAUGACACGCAAGUUCGUGAAGCGUUCCGUAUUUUU